CUUCUUCUUCCUCCUCCCCAACCCAAGCAUCAAUCCUAAAAGCCCUUCUUCCCAUUUCCAGAACCCCAUUACUUACCAGGUGCCUGGUCCUCCUCCCUCUCCCUCUCGCUACUUUUCUGCUUCCCAGCAACAGCACCGCUGCUGAUUCUAUUCACUCUUCAUCUGCUGCUGCUGCUGCUGCUGCAGUCACACGCUUCAACCCAAUAAGUGAUGCUGAGAGAGACGCAAGUGAUGCCAUUUCCAGAAUAAUAUCUGAAGCCCUGGACUUGUUGGAGAGAGGGAGAGAGUUUCAGGCCAGUGGUGACUUUGACCAGGCUCUUCUCAGUUUUACACAGGUGAUUGAGAAGUACAAGGAAUUUGCAUUUUCAGACUAUGCAAGAGUAGGCAGACUGACUUUGUAUGAAGUUGGCAACAGAGAUGGAGGAUGUUUCCAUAUCUUUAAAGGGAUAUCCAGAAGUGCAUGCAGCUCUUGCCGCAGCGUUAUAUGUGGACAAACAUGCUCCACUGCUCGCAGAAAACUAGUUCACAAUUACAACUCUGCUUGAUCCUCACUAUACAGACCUCUCAUAUGUAAAAGACACAAAACAUUGGCCUCCGAGUUUGGUUAGUUCCUUGCAACACUUCAUCACACUUUCCUUGACACUUGAAUAGUCAAAUUGAAGUUGAUGUACUCUCUUAGAGACCAAAUAGCGUAAGGGCAUGUUUGGUAUCAAUUGAUUACGCAAAUAUAUAUAUAGAAAGAUAGCCUUUCACUUGUAAUACCAAAGAUGAAUACAUAGAUGAUGUACUGGAAUGCAUACAUGCUGUUUAUACAAAUACUGUGCUUUACUAUGAUAAUUCC
Long non-coding RNA from Argentina anserina (silverweed cinquefoil), 841 nucleotides. RefSeq lists it as uncharacterized. The record is from RefSeq and is a predicted model, not a curated record. The transcript is spliced from 3 exons. NCBI's taxonomy places the organism in Eukaryota, Viridiplantae, Streptophyta, Magnoliopsida, Rosales, Rosaceae.